Long non-coding RNA from Amphimedon queenslandica, 294 nucleotides. RefSeq lists it as uncharacterized. The record is from RefSeq and is a predicted model, not a curated record. The transcript has 3 exons. Lineage: Eukaryota; Metazoa; Porifera; Demospongiae; Haplosclerida; Niphatidae.
UCUAUUGUUCUUUCUCAUUUACAUGUAGUUAUUACCAAUUUUGACACAGUUGAUCAAUCAUCAGGAUAAAGAGGUUGUUAGUGAUGCUUGUUGGGCUCUGUCGUAUGUUACUGACGGAUCAACUGAGCGUAUACAGACUGUAGUUAACAGUGGGGUUGUGCCACGCUUGGUUGAGCUGACUGGAUGUGGGGAGACUAGUUUAGCAUCUCCGUCACUUCGUGCUAUUGGCAAUGUUGUAACAGGUAAUGAUGAGCAAACCCAACACGUCUUGAACUGUGGGGCUUUGCAGCACUU